GUGCCAGCCGCCGCGGUAAUACGAAGGGACCUAGCGUAGUUCGGAAUUACUGGGCUUAAAGAGCUCGUAGGUGGUUAGAAAAGUUGGUGGUGAAAUCCCAAGGCUUAACCUUGGAACUGCCACCAAAACUUUUUGACUAGAGUAUGAUAGAGGAAAGUGGAAUUUCUAGUGUAGAGGUGAAAUUCGUAGAUAUUAGAAAGAACACCAAUUGCGAAGGCAACUUUCUGGAUCAUUACUGACACUGAGGAGCGAAAGCAUGGGUAGCGAAGAGGAUUAGAUACCCUCGUAGUCCAUGCCGUAAACGAUGUGUGCUAGACGUUGGAAAUUUAGUUUUCAGUGUCGCAGCAAAAGCGUUAAGCACACCGCCUGGGGAGUACGACCGCAAGGUUAAAACUCAAAUGAAUUGACGGGGACCCGCACAAGUAGUGGAGCAUGUGGUUUAAUUCGAAGAUACGCGCAGAACCUUACCAACACUUGACAUGUUCGUCGCGACUCUAAGAGAUUGGAGUCAUCGGUUCGGCCGGACGAAACACAGGUGCUGCAUGGCUGUCGUCAGCUCGUGUCGUGAGAUGUUGGGUUAAGUCCCGCAACGAGCGCAACCCUUACUUUUAGUUGCUACCAUUUAGUUGGGCACUCUAAAAGAACUGCCAGUGAUAAGCUGGAGGAAGGUGGGGAUGACGUCAAGUCCUCAUGGCCCUUAUGUGUUGGGCUACACACGUGCUACAAUGGUACUUACAGUGAGAAGCGAAGAGGCGACUCCAAGCUAAUCCCAAAAAGGUACCUCAGUUCGGAUUGUACUCUGCAACUCGAGUACAUGAAGCUGGAAUUACUAGUAAUCGCGGAUCAGCGCGCCGCGGUGAAUACGUUCCCGGGUCUUGCACACACUGCCCGUC
Molecule: ribosomal RNA, 893 nt
Filed under: uncultured bacterium
Lineage: Bacteria
Description: bacterial SSU rRNA
Rfam family: Bacterial small subunit ribosomal RNA
Source: RNAcentral